RNAcentral lists this ribosomal RNA (119 nucleotides) under Pteropus alecto (black flying fox). Lineage: Eukaryota; Metazoa; Chordata; Mammalia; Chiroptera; Pteropodidae. The record is from RNAcentral.
GUCUAUGGCCAUGCUACCCUGAACAAGCCCAAACUCAUCUGAUCUCGGAAGCUAAGCAGGGUCGGGCCUGGUUAGUACUUGGAUGGGAGACCACCUAGGAAGACCAGGUGCAGUAGGAG